This is a long non-coding RNA of Vitis riparia (riverbank grape), 249 nucleotides long. RefSeq lists it as uncharacterized. Lineage: Eukaryota; Viridiplantae; Streptophyta; Magnoliopsida; Vitales; Vitaceae. The record is from RefSeq and is a predicted model, not a curated record. The transcript is spliced from 2 exons.
UCCAUUGACUAGAAAUCAGAAGCCUCAAGUUGGAAAUCAGAGGUAUGCCGUAUGUAACAUAUUGGUGUAGAAUAGAAAUUGUUGAGAUGUUUCAGUUCUGAUACAUGUAGGAUAUUUUUGCAAAAUACAUCUACCAUGCUUAUGUCUGUCUCGUGUAAACUCGGAGCAAAUUUGCCCCAUGCCCAACUAUUGCAAUAUGUCUGGAUAUCUCUAGAAAAUAGAAUUCGCCUAGUUUGCAUUUUUAAGGAA